CCUACGGGCGGCAGCAGUGGGGAAUAUUACACAAUGGGGGAAACCCUGAUGCAGCGACGCCGCGUGAGUGAAGAAGUAUUUCGGUACGUAAAGCUCUAUCAGCAGGGAAGAAAAUGACGGUACCUGACUAAGAAGCCCCGGCUAACUACGUGCCAGCAGCCGCGGUAAUACGUAGGGGGCAAGCGUUAUCCGGAUUUACUGGGUGUAAAGGGAGCGUAGACGGCAGCGCAAGUCUGGAGUGAAAUCCCAUGGCUUAACCAUGGAACUGCUUUGGAAACUGUGCAGCUAGAGUGCAGGAGAGGUAAGCGGAAUUCCUAGUGUAGCGGUGAAAUGCGUAGAUAUUAGGAGGAACACCAGUGGCGAAGGCGGCUUACUGGACUGUAACUGACGUUGAGGCUCGAAAGCGUGGGGAGCAAACAGGAUUAGAUACCCCAGUAGUC
This 440-nucleotide ribosomal RNA is filed under the name uncultured bacterium. Its description in RNAcentral is "partial 16S ribosomal RNA". It matches the Rfam family "Bacterial small subunit ribosomal RNA", at positions 338 to 795 of the family's 1533-position model. The record is from RNAcentral.